AGCCAAAGCUAUAUCACCCUGCAGCACAAGACAAGUUACUCACUGAAGCUAAGCAGGGCUGAGCCUGGUCAGUACCUGGAUGGGAGACCACAUGGGGAAAACUUGGUUGCUGUUGUAA
Danio rerio (zebrafish) is the source of this 118-nucleotide ribosomal RNA. NCBI's taxonomy places the organism in Eukaryota, Metazoa, Chordata, Actinopteri, Cypriniformes, Danionidae. The record is from Ensembl.